Macaca fascicularis (crab-eating macaque) is the source of this 301-nucleotide unclassified non-coding RNA. It matches the Rfam family "Metazoan signal recognition particle RNA". Rfam says of the family: The signal recognition particle (SRP) is a universally conserved ribonucleoprotein. It is involved in the co-translational targeting of proteins to membranes. The eukaryotic SRP consists of a 300-nucleotide 7S RNA and six proteins: SRPs 72, 68, 54, 19, 14, and 9. The record is from Ensembl. NCBI's taxonomy places the organism in Eukaryota, Metazoa, Chordata, Mammalia, Primates, Cercopithecidae.
GCUGGGCGUGGUGGUGUGUACAUGUAGUCCCACCUACUUAGGAAGCUGAGACAGGAGGAUCACUUGGACUCAGGAGCUCUGGGCUGUAAUGUGCUCUGCUGAUUGGGUGUUCAAACUAAGUUUGACAUUAAUAUAGUGACUUCCUGGGAGUGGGGGGCCACCAGGUUGCCUAAGGAGGGGUGAACUGGCUCAGGUUGGAAAUGGAGCAGGUCAAAACUCCCAUGCUGAUCAGUAGUGGGAUUGUGCCUGUGAAUAGCCACUGCACUCCAGCCUGGGCAACCAUAGUGAGACUCUGUCUCUU